This is a long non-coding RNA of Tachysurus vachellii, 3698 nucleotides long. RefSeq lists it as uncharacterized. Lineage: Eukaryota; Metazoa; Chordata; Actinopteri; Siluriformes; Bagridae. The record is from RefSeq and is a predicted model, not a curated record. The transcript is spliced from 2 exons.
ACCAAUCGGAGUAAACUAUAACGGCGUUCGUAUGGUCCCGCCUCUUUUACGAACAUUGCCGAUGUUUGCCGAAGGCUGUUUUCCCCGUCUAAGCAAAAGUAAAAAAAACUGUACUGUUCCGUCCGUCUCGUCCUGGAUCAGCUACGAGUGUUGGAAAAGAAGCUCGCGCGAAAGGCCUACCGUAACCACCGAAGAUUCAUACAUCAUUUUUUUGUUCAGCUUUUAUCUUCAGUACUCAAAAAAUAACUGUAACAAUGUUUUAUAGCACCCUUUUAAACAUGACCGCUCAUUUUGUUAGCAAUUCAGAACGUUUGCUACUAUUUUAUGGGAAAUUGCAGGAAGCCUCGGAGUCGAGUUAAAGCACUGGCCGGACACCUGACAGACACUUUCGGUAUGCGCCGUUGGAAAGCCCCCGGAAAGCCUGCAGCUUUGUAACAAGUCUAUUUUUAGAUUUUUUUUAUACACAAAAUAUCACAAGUUAUCGUUUAACGUUUGUCAGACUGUUGCUUAAAACGGUGGUACGUAUUUUAAGUUUUAAUCGUGUUUUAUAAAGCUUUUACGUUGUAGGCCGCGUGUGAGCCGCGAGAACACGUUUAAUAACAGGAUUAAAAGAUAAACGCGUCCGUAAAUAUAUUACUUUAGAAAUAUCUAAACGAGAUGAGCAGAUUACAGACAGUUUGUUUAGAGAAAUGUGGAGGAAUAUUACGUUUGUGUCGCCUGUAACAAAAAAAUGGCGUUAGGUAACAUGAGCCGCGUUAAUAACGCUCUAUAACGUAGAUAUUCGUGUUUAUAUCGGUGUUUUUAUACCGUAGUGUAAACUAAAGCGAAUUAUUUCGACCACGUCGAUGAAGCUCGUCUGGAGUAAAAUGUAUAUUUUUGUAUUUAUUCGCGUUGUGAAGGAGAGUUAAAGCACAACAUGGCCGCCGUGCUGGUUAGCCUGUUAGCAUGUUAGCUUAGCACACUUGUGUCUCCACAACAGCAGUGAAGUGAUCAGAUAAACGUCCAGUCGGGUCGAUAAAUCGACUAUAAAACAAUCUAGGGCAUAAAUUUUAUUUGUUUAAAUUGUAAUUAUUAUUAUUAUUUUUUUUUUACAAACGUGGAGUCGACGAGUUUUAUCAGUUAUUUUUUAGGUGGUGUGGAAUCUUAGUGUUUUUAUUUUAUUUUUAUUUAGUAAUAAUGAUGUUAGCCGGUCGGUUUAACUGUUAUUGUUAAUAUUUAAGUAUUAUAAUAAAAAUAAUAAAAUAAAUAAUAACGAGUACUGGAUAAAUUGUAUGUUGUUGGAUCUCUAGACAAGUUUAGUGUCUUGUAUUGUGAUUGAGGAAAUAGUGAUUGAGACACACACGUCGUUUUCUUAUUGCUAGAUCAUUUAGUGUUAUAUGUAUAUAUAUACACAACAUAUAUAUAUAUAAAAAACACAUAUAUGACAUGUAUAUAACAUAUAUACAUAAUGUGGUGUUGGGAGAAUCGUCCAUAUCUUGCUCUUGCGCGCGCGCAAUGCUAAUGAAGCCACCUAGCAUAGCCGCUAUUCUAGCUAUUGUCUGUCUCCUGGUGCUGUUCACGACAUUAGAACACACGAUACGUUUAUUUUAGACGAUUAUUAGCUAUAUAGAUUUAGUCUCAAGGAACGUAUGAUUAUUGAUAUUAGACAACAGGCUAUCUUAAUCAGAUAACUAGUUCUCUUAGCCGGCUAACAGUAAAAGCUUUGUUAUAUGUAACUCGGGUGUGUUUCGCUUUGUCUUUCUGUCUCUCUCUCUGUCUCUCUCUUUAUACAUAUAUAUAUGUGUGUAUGUGUGUGUACAUGCAUGCUCGCUCCAGUAUACAUUAAUAAUUGUGAUUCUUGUGUUAUCAUGUUUAGAAAUGAUACGGUUGUAAUCCGUGUUCAGAGCUGUACUUGGUGUUCCAGUAUGGCGGAAGGCAGCUCUAAUAAAAAUGGAGUCUGCUCUGUUACUAGGUUGUUGUUUUGUAAGGAACAGAGAAGUCAGCCUGAGCCGUCUGCCACAGUUAAACACGUCUCCUUCCUUAUCAUCAUUAUUAUUGUGGUUGUAUCCGCAAAGUUUAAGAAUUCACUACAGUCCGCCGAUUGUGACCCAGAUCGAAAAGAAAAAAUAAGAAGGAACGUCUCGUGUGCCACGGAGGCAGGUUCAGAUCGUCUGCUUUAGGAGUAAGUCGGGUUAGAGAGGUCUUCUCGGUGGUGUUAAUGCUUUUCAGGGGAAGAGUAAGUACAGCGUGCUCAGAAAGUGGCGUGAAGUCGCUGAGUGAUGUCACAGCACGUUCAUUUGCAUGUAGAUUUUUUCAUCAAGAUUAUUGUAUCAACUCAAUAAAUUCUACAUCCAGGUUAUGUAACGUCUUCAAAUUGAAAACCGUACGAAAGAGCAGAGGACGAGCUUCGUUACGAUACCCAGUUACUGUCUGUACCAAAAUUAGGCCGAAUUGAAGAAUUUAACUAAGUAAUUGCUUUAUUUUUAUAUUAUUUACUUCGUGUGCACACGUUACUAUUAAAAAUGGCCACAUCGAUAUGCACAUCUGUCAUAUUUUGACAGAAAUACGUUGCUUUAUGUGAACUAUGAAGGAAACCUCAAUAUCUGGGUCUCCUGGCCGAUCAUAUUUGUCCUGUCACUCUAGUGACAUGACAUUUAGUGUCUCUCGACUGAGCCUCGUUAUAAACAGCUGGAGAUGGAGCAUAGUGAAUCCUGAGAGUUGCUGUUAAAAACAUUUUAUUUACAAACAUGACUUCCAAAAGGAGAUUUUUAGCUCCUCAGAAAGAUUCAGUUGUGCGUUUUAAAGACAAGGAUGACGGAAAUGCUUCGUCUGAUUUGGGGAGUUUGUCAUCAGAGGAAGAAAAUCUUCUCGAAGACGGUGUCGGUAAAAACUUCUGAUCCACAAACUUGCUCAGCUGCUGCAGUCUACAUCACCCCUGUAUACCAACCUUUUUUGGGAGGAUGAAGACCAAAAUGCUAAACCACUGGACCUCUUUCAUCUGUGAUUUUUAAAGGUUUUGGUGCAGACAUGUUGCCAUAAUACCAGCAAACAGGCAGCUCAAAUACUGGACACAGGCAAAAAGUACAUAUGGUCCGAUGUCACUGUAAGCCAGUUCUACAGAUUCGUUAGUAACGUGUCGGUGGUUCUUCUAAAACAUCCAGGAUUGUUGGUGAGAGAGCCACUUCGACUCUGUCCCGUAUCCAGGAACAGUUGCGGCCAGGUUCAUAAGUUUCCUAGAAUGUUGGAGUGACCCAGACAAAGAUGUGGUGAAUCAUAGGAAGAACGGGACACCAGACCAUGAGGAGUUGUUUCAUACAAAACGCAUUCUUGAUGAGAUUUGUGCCCCGUGUUAGACAUAAUGCUAUACAAGAAGCGAGCCCUAACUCUUGUAUGACCCAGGAUAUGAAGUCUACAAAACGGAUGUUCAGACUUUGUGUUCGCUCCGAUGUGAAUAAUUUGUGUUUACUGGGAAAAACAAGGGUAACAAUUAGGACUGGAAUAUUUUGAGUGUUAUGGCUGUCAUAAUUUCCAGCUUUACCUGAUAGCUGGUAUAGAGCAUGUAUGUGGGUAUCUUUUGUUACAGGUUGCAGGCUUUUCACAGACUUUGUACACUGGAGCUUGUGGCAAAUACAGCUGGAAAGGUUUAUAUAUAGAUAUAAUUGUGAAGGAAAUGGUUUCUCCAUGAAGAGAACUGAGAUAUUCAAGUGUAGGAUUAUUGA